This 497-nucleotide ribosomal RNA is filed under the name uncultured bacterium. Its description in RNAcentral is "partial 16S ribosomal RNA". It matches the Rfam family "Bacterial small subunit ribosomal RNA", at positions 28 to 507 of the family's 1533-position model. The record is from RNAcentral.
GAUGAACGCUGGCGGCGUGCCUAAUACAUGCAAGUCGAGCGAACGGACGAGAAGCUUGCUUCUCUGAUGUUAGCGGCGGACGGGUGAGUAACACGUGGAUAACCUACCUAUAGGACUGGGAUAACUUCGGGAAACCGGAUCUAAUACCGGAUGAUAUUUUGAACCGCAUGGUUCAAAAGUGAAAGACGGUCUUGCUGUCACUUAUAGAUGGAUCCGCGCUGCAUUAGCUAGUUGGUAAGGUAACGGCUUACCAAGGCAACGAUGCAUAGCCGACCUGAGAGGGUGAUCGGCCACACUGGAACUGAGACACGGUCCAGACUCCUACGGGAGGCAGCAGUAGGGAAUCUUCCGCAAUGGGCGAAAGCCUGACGGAGCAACGCCGCGUGAGUGAUGAAGGUCUUCGGAUCGUAAAACUCUGUUAUUAGGGAAGAACAUAUGUGUAAGUAACUGUGCACAUCUUGGCGGUACCUAAUCAGAAAGCCACGGCUAACUACGUG